This 248-nucleotide ribosomal RNA is filed under the name uncultured bacterium. RNAcentral's name for it is "partial 16S ribosomal RNA". It matches the Rfam family "Bacterial small subunit ribosomal RNA", at positions 523 to 769 of the family's 1533-position model. The record is from RNAcentral.
AUACGUAGGUGGCAAGCGUUGUCCGGAGUUUAUUGGGCGUAAAGCGAGCGCAGGCGGUUUUUUAAGUCUGAUGUGAAAGCCUUCGGCUCAACCGAAGAAGUGCAUCGGAAACUGGGAAACUUGAGUGCAGAAGAGGACAGUGGAACUCCAUGUGUAGCGGUGAAAUGCGUAGAUAUAUGGAAGAACACCAGUGGCGAAGGCGGCUGCCUGGUCUGUAACUGACGCUGAGGCUCGAAAGUACGGGUAGC